RNAcentral lists this ribosomal RNA (1190 nucleotides) under Campylobacter jejuni. RNAcentral describes it as "bacterial LSU rRNA". It matches the Rfam family "Bacterial large subunit ribosomal RNA", at positions 1 to 1206 of the family's 2925-position model. The record is from RNAcentral. Lineage: Bacteria; Pseudomonadati; Campylobacterota; Epsilonproteobacteria; Campylobacterales; Campylobacteraceae.
AAAAAAGGUAAGCUACUAAGAGCGAAUGGUGGAUGCCUUGACUGGUAAAGGCGAUGAAGGACGUACUAGACUGCGAUAAGCUACGGGGAGCUGUCAAGAAGCUUUGAUCCGUAGAUUUCCGAAUGGGGCAACCCAAUGUAUAGAGAUAUACAUUACCUAUAUAGGAGCGAACGAGGGGAAUUGAAACAUCUUAGUACCCUCAGGAAAAGAAAUCAAUAGAGAUUGCGUCAGUAGCGGCGAGCGAAAGCGCAAGAGGGCAAACCCAGUGCUUGCACUGGGGGUUGUAGGACUGCAAUGUGCAAGAGGUAAGUUUAGCAGAACAUUCUGGAAAGUAUAACCAUAGAGGGUGAUAGUCCCGUAUGCGAAAAACAAACCUUAGCUAGCAGUAUCCUGAGUAGGGCGGGACACGAGGAAUCCUGUCUGAAUCCGGGUCGACCACGAUCCAACCCUAAAUACUAAUACCAGAUCGAUAGUGCACAAGUACCGUGAGGGAAAGGUGAAAAGAACUGAGGUGAUCAGAGUGAAAUAGAACCUGAAACCAUUUGCUUACAAUCAUUCAGAGCCCUAUGUAGCAAUACAGGGUGAUGGACUGCCUUUUGCAUAAUGAGCCUGCGAGUUGUGGUGUCUGGCAAGGUUAAGCAAACGCGAAGCCGUAGCGAAAGCGAGUCUGAAUAGGGCGCUUAGUCAGAUGCUGCAGACCCGAAACGAAGUGAUCUAUCCAUGAGCAAGUUGAAGCUAGUGUAAGAACUAGUGGAGGACUGAACCCAUAGGCGUUGAAAAGCCCCGGGAUGACUUGUGGAUAGGGGUGAAAGGCCAAUCAAACUUCGUGAUAGCUGGUUCUCUCCGAAAUAUAUUUAGGUAUAGCGUUGUGUCGUAAUAUAAGGGGGUAGAGCACUGAAUGGGCUAGGGCAUACACCAAUGUACCAAACCCUAUCAAACUCCGAAUACCUUAUAUGUAAUCACAGCAGUCAGGCGGCGAGUGAUAAAAUCCGUCGUCAAGAGGGAAACAACCCAGACUACCAGCUAAGGUCCCUAAAUCUUACUUAAGUGGAAAACGAUGUGAAGUUACUUAAACAACCAGGAGGUUGGCUUAGAAGCAGCCAUCCUUUAAAGAAAGCGUAAUAGCUCACUGGUCUAGUGAUUUUGCGCGGAAAAUAUAACGGGGCUAAAGUAAGUACCGAAGCUGUAGA